Molecule: transfer RNA, 68 nt
Filed under: Plestiodon liui
Lineage: Eukaryota; Metazoa; Chordata; Lepidosauria; Squamata; Scincidae
Description: tRNA-Tyr
Source: RNAcentral
GGUAGGAUGGCCGAGAUAGGCGGCAGGUUGUAGCCCUGCACAGGCGGGUCUGAGCCCCGCUUCUACCA